Oryctolagus cuniculus (rabbit) is the source of this 1495-nucleotide non-coding RNA. Lineage: Eukaryota; Metazoa; Chordata; Mammalia; Lagomorpha; Leporidae. The record is from RefSeq and is a predicted model, not a curated record.
UCUGCGGGCGGGAGGGCGCUGGCCAGGGGAGAGGGCGGCGCGCGCGGGGGCGCGGGAGCCGGGUCCAGCCCAGGGACCGGACGGCGCCCCCUCCCAGCGCCUGAACCCAGGCAACUUCCCGCCGCCCGAGACGGAGUUUCUCGGUAGCCCGCAGACACCAAGGAGGCUGUGUGGAGGUCAAACGGGGUAACCCCCCACUCCCACCCUGCCUUUAUCCAGUGGGAAUCAGGAGCCAGCAGGUCCGGACUCGCUGAGGGGGCUCCACGCGGGGCCUCCCACGCACAGGUCUCUGGACAUGCAGUAACCGGGAAAGCCCCCAGGGGGCGCUGAGCAAGCUGAGGAUGUGGAACCAACGACCCGGCGUAGGAGCGAGCCCUGGUCACUGCAGAGGUCCUGGCUCUGCCUCCCUGACUGGACCCCCAGCUGCCAGCCCAGCCGGAGCCACGAGGGGCGGAGCCUCCCCAGCCCCCGCCCAGCGGGGGAUGCCGCCUCCUUCGGAUCUUUUUGCGGUCUGGGCUUGCUGUUCCUCUCAGCAGUAGUCAGGAAGCCCUUACCCCAAAAAGUAUCUGCGGGAGGCCUCAUCUGCAGGGGAGACCCCAGAGGGCGCCAGGCAGUCACACACCAAACCCGGGAGCUGCGAGUGGAGCCGGGACCUCCAGCUAUUAUCUCGUGCAGCUGAGCGGGCUCAAGUCAGCACAGAGGCUCUCUGCGCCCCCAUUUUAUGCACACUUUAUUUUUGUAAGAUUUAUUUUAUUUAUCUGAAAAAAAAAAACAGAAUGACAGAGCAAGAAGGAGAUACCAAAAAGCGAUCUUCCAUCCACUGCUUCACUCCCCCAAAUGGCCACAAUCCUGGCCACAAGCCAGGAGCUUCUUCCAGGUCUCCCAUGUGGGUGCAGGGACCCAAACACUUGGGCCAUGUUCCUCUGCUUUCCCAGGACACAGCAGAGAGCUGGAUCGGAAGUGGAGCAGCCAGGACUCGAACCAGCGCCCAUGUGGGAUGCAGGCAUUGUAGGCAGCGGCUUAAUCCUCUGCCGCACUACAACACCAGACCCUAUUAUGCAUCUUUAUUUGUGGGCAGUGCCUAGUGGGAGACCCUUCAAGGCAAGCAGAAACCAGGGUUGCUCAGUUAUAGGCCAGGAAGACUGCUUGGUGGACAUCCGCAGCGUGGCCCUCCCCAAAUCCAGGCUGCACCUGGAGAUGACGUCCCUCUCAGCUGCUCCUGGGGGCCCGCCCAUCCCACAUCACCGGCACUCCUGGCAGGACUGUCACUCAAGAUGCCCCGCCCCCCACUCACCCGCGGCUGGACACAAGACGAAGCUCGGGCUGUGCAGAGGGAUACACGUUGGGGAACGGACUGAGGGGUGCUGGCUGAUGUGGGUUGAGAAGCUGUCACGUGAGCUGUGACACAUGUGUCAUGACAUCUGCCCUUCCCUGGGCCUUUGACUGUCCCUUCAUCCUGUGAGCCACCCGAAACCCUCCAAAUAAAAGCCUUGUU